This 429-nucleotide ribosomal RNA is filed under the name Pseudomonadota bacterium. Its description in RNAcentral is "Proteobacteria bacterium partial 16S ribosomal RNA". It matches the Rfam family "Bacterial small subunit ribosomal RNA", at positions 355 to 776 of the family's 1533-position model. Lineage: Bacteria; Pseudomonadati; Pseudomonadota. The record is from RNAcentral.
UGGGGAAUAUUGGACAAUGGGCGAAAGCCUGAUCCAGCCAUGCCGCGUGUGUGAAGAAGGUCUUCGGAUUGUAAAGCACUUUAAGUUGGGAGGAAGGGCAGUAAGCGAAUACCUUGCUGUUUUGACGUUACCGACAGAAUAAGCACCGGCUAACUCUGUGCCAGCAGCCGCGGUAAUACAGAGGGUGCAAGCGUUAAUCGGAAUUACUGGGCGUAAAGCGCGCGUAGGUGGUUCGUUAAGUUGAAUGUGAAAGCCCCGGGCUCAACCUGGGAACUGCAUCCAAAACUGGCGGGCUAGAGUAGGGCAGAGGGUGGUGGAAUUUACUGUGUAGCGGUGAAAUGCGUAGAUAUAGGAAGGAACACCAGUGGCGAAGGCGACCACCUGGGCUCAUACUGACACUGAGGUGCGAAAGCGUGGGGAGCAAACAGG